CAAGGUCUUGGUCUUGAACCUCUUAUUAUCUACACCCCCUAAUUAUACAUGCAAGCCUCACCAUAACAGUGAAAUAGCCCACCACACCCGGUACGGAGCAGGUAUCAGGCAUACGCCCAUGACACCAAGCACAACUAAGCCACACCCCCACGGGUCCACAGCAGUAGCUAACAUUAGGCCAUAAGCGAAAGCUUGACCUAGCAAGGUGGUUUUAGGGCCGGUUAAUCUCGUGCCAGCGACCGCGGUUAUACGACAGACCCAAGAUAAUACAAACGGCGUAAAGCACGACUAAGUCAGCAGUACUAUCAUUAGAGAUGAAGAGCCCCGGGCUGUAAAAAGCCAUAGGCUACACCAACUACACCCCCUAACAACUAAACCGCACUAACUCGUGAAAGCCAGGACACAAACUAAGAUUAGAUACCUUACUAUGCCUAGCCGUAACAAAACAAUUAAAUAACUAAUUGUUCGCCAAAUAACUACGAGUAUAAACUUAAAAUUUAAAAGACUUGACGGUGCUUCACAACAACCUAGAGGAGCCUGUCUAAUAACCGAUACCCCACGAUUAACCCUACCCACCCUAGCCUACCAGUCUAUAUACCGCCGUCGCCAGCUUACCUUGUGAAAGAAACGAAGUAAACCCAAUAAGUUACCCCUAACACGACAGGUCGAGGUGUAACAAAUGGGUGGGUAAAAGAUGGGCUACAUUUUCUAACACAGAAAACACGAACAGACUAUGAAACUAGAAACUGAAGGCGGAUUUAGCAGUAUGUUAAGGACAAAACGCUUAACUGAAACCAAUGCAAUGAAGUGUGUACACACCGCCCGUCAUCCCUGUCACAAACAACAAAAAAUCAAUAAACACAUCACACAUCUUAAAGCAGGGCAAGUCGUAACACGGUAAGCGUACUGGAAAGUGCGCUUAGAAA
Molecule: non-coding RNA, 926 nt
Filed under: Sibon nebulatus (cloudy snail-eating snake)
Lineage: Eukaryota; Metazoa; Chordata; Lepidosauria; Squamata; Dipsadidae
Source: RNAcentral